Non-coding RNA from Paramuricea clavata, 72 nucleotides. Lineage: Eukaryota; Metazoa; Cnidaria; Anthozoa; Malacalcyonacea; Plexauridae. The record is from the annotation of a GenBank genome assembly.
GGCCUCGUAGCUCAGUUAGCAGAGUAUUGGACUAAUAUCCCAAAGUCGCGGGUUUGAUUCCCACCGUGGUCA